RNAcentral lists this ribosomal RNA (147 nucleotides) under uncultured Vibrio sp. RNAcentral's name for it is "partial 16S ribosomal RNA". The record is from RNAcentral. Lineage: Bacteria; Pseudomonadati; Pseudomonadota; Gammaproteobacteria; Vibrionales; Vibrionaceae.
UACGGGAGGCAGGCAGUCUACGAGGAGCGUCUCUCAGUCUACGAGCACUUUCAGUCGUAGAGGAAGGUAGUGUGUUAAUAAAUGCAUUAUUUGACGUUAGCGACAGAAGAAGCACCGGCUAACUCCGUGCCAGCAGCCGCGGUAAUA